AAUCAACGCUGGCGGCGUGCCUAACACAUGCAAGUCGAACGAGAAAGUGGAGCAAUCCAUGAGUAAAGUGGCGCACGGGUGAGUAACACGUGACUAACCUACCCUUGAGUGGGGGAUAACCUAGGGAAACCUGGGCUAAUACCGCAUAAUAUCGAGAGAUCAAAGGAGCAAUUCGCUUAAGGAGGGGGUCGCGGCUGAUUAGCUAGUUGGUGGGGUAAUGGCCCACCAAGGCNGUGAUCAGUAUCCGGCCUGAGAGGGCGCACGGACACACUGGAACUGAAACACGGUCCAGACUCCUACGGGAGGCAGCAGUGGGGAAUUUUGCGCAAUGGGGGAAACCCUGACGCAGCAACGCCGCGUGGA
RNAcentral lists this ribosomal RNA (363 nucleotides) under uncultured bacterium. RNAcentral's name for it is "bacterial SSU rRNA". It matches the Rfam family "Bacterial small subunit ribosomal RNA", at positions 32 to 405 of the family's 1533-position model. The record is from RNAcentral.